UAAGGAAUAUUGGUCAAUGGACGCAAGUCUGAACCAGCCAUGCCGCGUGGAGGAUUAAGGCCCUCUGGGUUGUAAACUCCUUUUAUCUGGGAAGAAAUGUACUUUUUCUUGAGUACUUGACGGUACCAGAGGAAUAAGCACCGGCUAACUCCGUGCCAGCAGCCGCGGUAAUACGGAGGGUGCAAGCGUUAUCCGGAUUCACUGGGUUUAAAGGGUGCGUAGGUGGGCAGGUAAGUCAGUGGUGAAAUCUCCGGGCUUAACCCGGAAACUGCCGUUGAUACUAUUUGUCUUGAAUAUUGCGGAGGUCAGCGGAAUAUGUCAUGUAGCGGUGAAAUGCUUAGAUAUGACAUAGAACACCAAUUGCUAAGGCAGCUUACUACACAAUCAUUGACGCUGAGGCACGAAAGCGUGGGGAUCAAACA
RNAcentral lists this ribosomal RNA (422 nucleotides) under uncultured bacterium. RNAcentral's name for it is "bacterial SSU rRNA". It matches the Rfam family "Bacterial small subunit ribosomal RNA", at positions 355 to 774 of the family's 1533-position model. The record is from RNAcentral.